RNAcentral lists this ribosomal RNA (1370 nucleotides) under uncultured bacterium. RNAcentral describes it as "bacterial SSU rRNA". It matches the Rfam family "Bacterial small subunit ribosomal RNA". The record is from RNAcentral.
AGAGUUUGAUCCUGGCUCAGAACGAACGCUGGCGGCGUGGAUAAGACAUGCAAGUCGAACGAGAGAAUUGCUAGCUUGCUAAUAAUUCUCUAGUGGCGCACGGGUGAGUAACACGUGAGUAACCUGCCCCCGAGAGCGGGAUAGCCCUGGGAAACUGGGAUUAAUACCGCAUAGUAUCGAAAGAUUAAAGCAGCAAUGCGCUUGGGGAUGGGCUCGCGGCCUAUUAGUUAGUUGGUGAGGUAACGGCUCACCAAGGCGAUGACGGGUAGCCGGUCUGAGAGGAUGUCCGGCCACACUGGAACUGAGACACGGUCCAGACACCUACGGGUGGCAGCAGUCGAGAAUCAUUCACAAUGGGGGAAACCCUGAUGGUGCGACGCCGCGUGGGGGAAUGAAGGUCUUCGGAUUGUAAACCCCUGUCAUGUGGGAGCAAAUUAAAAAGAUAGUACCACAAGAGGAAGAGACGGCUAACUCUGUGCCAGCAGCCGCGGUAAUACAGAGGUCUCAAGCGUUGUUCGGAAUCACUGGGCGUAAAGCGUGCGUAGGCUGUUUCGUAAGUCGUGUGUGAAAGGCGCGGGCUCAACCCGCGGACGGCACAUGAUACUGCGAGACUAGAGUAAUGGAGGGGGAACCGGAAUUCUCGGUGUAGCAGUGAAAUGCGUAGAUAUCGAGAGGAACACUCGUGGCGAAGGCGGGUUCCUGGACAUUAACUGACGCUGAGGCACGAAGGCCAGGGGAGCGAAAGGGAUUAGAUACCCCUGUAGUCCUGGCAGUAAACGGUGCACGCUUGGUGUGCGGGGAAUCGACCCCCUGCGUGCCGGAGCUAACGCGUUAAGCGUGCCGCCUUGGGAGUACGGUCGCAAGAUUAAAACUCAAAGAAAUUGACGGGGACCCGCACAAGCGGUGGAGUAUGUGGCUUAAUUCGAUGCAACGCGAAGAACCUUACCUGGGCUUGACAUGUAAUGAACAACAUGUGAAAGCAUGCGACUCUUCGGAGGCGUUACACAGGUGCUGCAUGGCCGUCGUCAGCUCGUGUCGUGAGAUGUUUGGUUAAGUCCAGCAACGAGCGCAACCCCUGUUGCCAGUUACCAGCACGUGAAGGUGGGGACUCUGGCGAGACUGCCCAGAUCAACUGGGAGGAAGGUGGGGACGACGUCAGGUCAGUAUGGCCCUUAUGCCCAGGGCUGCACACGUACUACAAUGCCCAGUACAGAGGGGGCCGAAGCCGCGAGGCGGAGGAAAUCCUAAAAACUGAGCCCAGUUCGGACUGUAGGCUGCAACCCGCCUACACGAAGCCGGAAUCGCUAGUAAUGGCGCAUCAGCUACGGCGCCGUGAAUACGUUCCCGGGUCUUGCACUCACCGCCCGUCA